GUCUCCGUGGCGCAAUUGGUUAGCGCGUCUGACUGUUAUGCAACAACAUCUGAAUUGGCCUUACCAGCCAACAGGUGGCAUACACAUAUAUCAGGAGGUUGGAAGUUCGAGCCUUCCCGGGGACG
Molecule: transfer RNA, 125 nt
Organism: Exophiala dermatitidis
Lineage: Eukaryota; Fungi; Ascomycota; Eurotiomycetes; Chaetothyriales; Herpotrichiellaceae
Rfam family: tRNA
About the family: Transfer RNA (tRNA) molecules are approximately 80 nucleotides in length.
Source: Rfam